This 235-nucleotide ribosomal RNA is filed under the name uncultured bacterium. RNAcentral's name for it is "partial 16S ribosomal RNA". It matches the Rfam family "Bacterial small subunit ribosomal RNA", at positions 118 to 347 of the family's 1533-position model. The record is from RNAcentral.
UGAGUAACCUGCCCUUAACUCUGGGAUAAGCCUGGGAAACUGGGUCUAAUACCGGAUAUGACUCCUUAUCGCAUGGUGGGGGGUGGAAAGCUUUAUUGUGGCUUUGGAUGGACUCGCGGCCUAUCAGCUUGUUGGUGAGGUAAUGGCUCACCAAGGCGACGACGGGUAGCCGGCCUGAGAGGGCGAUCGGCCACACUGGGACUGAGACACGGCCCAGACCUCCGUACGGGAGCAG